This 253-nucleotide ribosomal RNA is filed under the name uncultured bacterium. RNAcentral's name for it is "partial 16S ribosomal RNA". It matches the Rfam family "Bacterial small subunit ribosomal RNA", at positions 524 to 776 of the family's 1533-position model. The record is from RNAcentral.
UACGAAGGGUGCAAGCGUUAAUCGGAAUUACUGGGCGUAAAGCGUGCGUAGGCGGUUUCUUAAGUCCGUUGUGAAAGCCCUGGGCUCAACCUGGGAACUGCGAUGGAUACUGAGGAGCUGGAGUACGGUAGAGGAAGGUGGAAUUCCCGGUGUAGCGGUGGAAUGCGUAGAGAUCGGGAAGAACAUCGAUGGCGAAGGCGGCCUGCUGGGCUGUUGCUGACGCUGAGGCGCGACAGCGUGGGGAGCAAACAGG